Molecule: long non-coding RNA, 2484 nt
Organism: Sapajus apella (tufted capuchin)
Lineage: Eukaryota; Metazoa; Chordata; Mammalia; Primates; Cebidae
Exons: 2
Source: RefSeq, a predicted model, not a curated record
GGCGCCAUAACAGAUUCUCUAGUGAGCCAGGCAGGAGCACAAGGAGCAUUUUCUUUCCCGGCAGGGAGGCUUGUGAGCCAACAGCCAGAGGGAGGCGACCCCUGUGUGGGGGAUGAACAGCCAGCCCCUUUGAUUCAGCACUGCAGCAGCAACUGUGCAGGACACUGGUCAGCAGAACCUGGACCUGGUGUAAGGUUCAAGAAAAAAAAGAAACCACCCAAGCUGGCAUUCGGUUUUGGGGAGAAGUUCCCUUCGCUGGCCACGCCAGCCCUUUUGUGUGACCUGUAUUGCGCUGUGCGGGGCUAGGAGCACUUCAACUCUCUUUUCCUCACCUGACGCCUGUGCUUGCACCCUGCCCUGGCCCUUUAAUAAGAUAAGCGGACACAGGAGGUACAGUCAUGGGCAAUGCCCCAGGCAUCUUCCAAGACUCACGUCUGGGAGGUAUCAUUUCUAAAUGGAAGGAAUUCAAAUCAGACGAUUUAAAGAAAAAGAAACGCCAGCCUGGGAAACACAGGAAGACCCCACCUCUACAAAAAACAGGAAAAAUGAGCCGGAAGUGGGGGUGCCUGCCUGUGGUCCCAGCUACUCGGAAGGCUAAGGUGAGAGGACAGCUUAAGCCCAGGAGGUUGAGGCUGCAGUGAGUUGUGGUUGCACCGGAGCACUCCAGCCUGGGCGACACAGUGAGACCCUGUCUCAAAAAAAGUUUUUUUUAACUAAAAAAAAAAAAGAAACUGAUUUUCUUCUGUAAUACAAUCUGCCCCAAUAGACAUCAGAGCAAGAAAAAUAGCCAUGGGUGGAAGUGGAUCUACUAGUUUCAACACUAUCCUACAGCCGGACCUAUUCUGUGAAUGGACAGAGAAAUGGGGAGAGAUACUUAGGUACAAGCUUUUAUGAAAUUAUACUAGGACCCAAGGCUGCUGGAUUCUUGUCAGGUGUGUGUGGCUCCUAUUUCCAGGUUCCUCCUGAAGGAACCUGAGGAAGUGGACCUCCAGGCUCAGACCCCUGGAACUCUUCCCUACCCUACCCUCUCAGGGAGGGAAGCCCCUGGGCUGUCCCCAACAGUGCUCCGAUCAGACUCCGAACCGGCACCCUCUUUUGCUUCCCCACUUGCCCAGAGCUGUUUUCCUCUCAGAAAAAUGAAUGGAAACAAGGGAGUGACAAAGGUGCAUGUUCCUUUUUUGGUGGUGGAUCUAGGACUAUGUAAAGAAAACUUUGGUAGAUUUUUCAGAGGAUCCUGAUAAGUUUAGAGAUGAAUUUGUUAAACUAAAUUUCACCUUUUCAUUGACAUGGCAGGAUGUUAUGGUUUGCACUACUGAUGAAAAGGAAUGCAUAUUUGAAAAGGCUAAGGAAUAUGCCAAUAGCCAGGUGGUCACUAAACCCCAAUAUGCAGUUCCAGGCAUAGUCUCCAUGCAAGUGAGACUAUGAAGAAAACCUAAAUAAAGCUAGAAGGAACCACUCUGUUACCUGCCUAACUGAAGGAAGAAGGGAAUGUAUAGUAAAACCUGUACACUAUGACAGGGUCAAGAAAAUUACCCAGAGAAAGAAGGGGAUUCCAGCAGUCUUCCUCAAUCAAGUCCCUAAGGCCCUUGGGAAAUGCACUCACGAAAACCCAGAGGCAGCAGAGGGGAGGCAUCAUGUGCCGUGUAUUUGAUCCUUCACUCAGCUCUGGACAUCAGGAGGAAAUUAAGGAAAAUUUGGAGGUCAGACCCCAGACCCUGCUGUUGACCUUGGCAGAGGAGGCUUUUAAGGUUUUCAGUAACAGGGACUAGACAGAGAAGGCAGAUGAGAAAAGGAGAUUGGCCAAGACAGUGCAGCUUCUGGCUACCCUAAUUCAUCCACCACCUCAGGGUGACCCUGGGAGGCCCACGAGACCAACCCAUCAAAGACAGCUGACUUUGGAUGGAGCCAAUGUGUGUCUUGCAGGACGGAGGGUCACUGGAAGAGGGGCUGCCCUGACCACGCUAAAACAGGAAAGCUGGCAGGCAAUCCUGGCCAGCCUCCCCUCCUCACCAAGCUUUCAAAUGAGAUUGAUACACACUGACUGACAGCACCCUGCCUCUGACUGCAGCAUACUCCAUCGUUAUCACACCGCGGAGCUUUGGGUCACCCUUGACGUGGCAGGUAGGAAAGCUGAGUUCCCCGUGGACACCAGAGCUGCCUGCUCUGUCCUGACGCUGCCUAUUCACCCCUCUCCAAUUGCAACUGCAUGAUAACCGGAAUAGACACGUGUCCUAAGGUAAAAAAACUAACUUUCCCUCUUGCUCGUGAGGCCAUGUCUAGGAUUAUUUCUCACUCAUUUCAGUAUGCCCUGGAAUGUCCUACUCCAUUGCUGAGUAGAGACUUAUUAAGCAAAAUGGGAGCCACCAUCUCCCUGGAAGAGGACAGAGUGCAGGUAGAGGCAGAGCCAGAACAGGGAAUCCACCUGCUAGCACUCUUAGAUGGACAGGAACUGGAGAUGGCAAACAUUCCCAAAGAAAGCAAGGA